This 480-nucleotide ribosomal RNA is filed under the name uncultured bacterium. RNAcentral's name for it is "partial 16S ribosomal RNA". It matches the Rfam family "Bacterial small subunit ribosomal RNA", at positions 28 to 507 of the family's 1533-position model. The record is from RNAcentral.
GAUGAACGCUAGCGGCAGGCCUAACACAUGCAAGUCGAGGGGUAGAAGGAGCUUGCUCCUUUGAGACCGGCGCACGGGUGCGUAACGCGUAUGCAAUCUACCUUGUACAGGGGAAUAGCCCAGAGAAAUUUGGAUUAAUGCCCCAUAGUAUAUAACCUUCGCAUGUUGGUUAUAUUAAAGUUCCAACGGUACAAGAUGAGCAUGCGUCCCAUUAGUUAGUUGGUAAGGUAACGGCUUACCAAGACGAUGAUGGGUAGGGGUCCUGAGAGGGAGAUCCCCCACACUGGUACUGAGACACGGACCAGACUCCUACGGGAGGCAGCAGUGAGGAAUAUUGGCCAAUGGUCGCAAGACUGAACCAGCCAUGCCGCGUGCAGGAAGACGGUCCUAUGGAUUGUAAACUGCUUUUAUACAGGAAGAAACCCUCCCACGUGUGGGAGCUUGACGGUACUGUAGGAAUAAGGAUCGGCUAACUCCGUG